GGCUUCCCAGCCCAGGCCUGGACUAGAAAGCCUGCCUGAACCUCCAGACCCUUGGAUGAGAAGCAUCACCUGACUUCUUGCAACCAGCAUCCUCCAAGGACCCGAGGCAUUCCAAUCACCAUGACUGCUGAACUUGCGUAAGACUCCUAGAAAGCACUACACUGAAAUGCUCAACUUCUGUUCAAGCAAAUCCAUUCUUCGCUGGCAUUAGUCUACUUCUUCAGGAUUCCAGUGUCUCCUGAAAACCAGCUGAGGCAUCCAGCCUUGUGGACUGAGAAACUUCUGGAUUCUUGGAUUUUCUGUUCAUAGCCAGCCAUUGUUAGAUUAGCUGGACCACAGCUUGUAAGUCAUUUUAAUAAACCAUAUAUAAAUAUAAAUAUAUAUAUAUAUAUAUAUAUAUGCAUGCACACACAUUCUCUAUAAGUUCUGUUACUCUAGAGAACUCUGGCUAAUACAACCAUCAUAGUCAAUUGCAGGGAGCAAUGAAUGCAGGCAUGCUUCUUGCUUGCCUGCUCACUAACUUUGUCCACUAUUGCACAUUUCAUGGUUCCACCUAAGGAAUGGUGCCACCUUCAGUGGACUGGGUUAAUUAACAAUCAAGACAACCCUGCCACAGACAUGCCCACGGGCCAAUCUGUUCAGACAAUUUUUCACUUGAGGUUUUCCUCUCAGAGAUUCUAGACUAUGGCAACAUGACACCUAAAACUAACUACACUUACCUCAUCAGCUCAUUUAGUUUUAGGUAAAGAUAUUUUUUUUUAAUUGGUU
Molecule: long non-coding RNA, 768 nt
Filed under: Mus pahari (shrew mouse)
Lineage: Eukaryota; Metazoa; Chordata; Mammalia; Rodentia; Muridae
Description: lncRNA (MGP_PahariEiJ_G0005981.1)
Source: RNAcentral